This 447-nucleotide long non-coding RNA is filed under the name Rosa chinensis. RNAcentral describes it as "sRNA RchiOBHm_Chr6g0256661". Lineage: Eukaryota; Viridiplantae; Streptophyta; Magnoliopsida; Rosales; Rosaceae. The record is from RNAcentral.
UAAUUACAUAAACUGCUACCACAGCUCUCUCUCCCAACGAUACCCAAGCCCAACUGAACCCUCAUCCUUUCGGACUCAAACCGUUACCAAAAUCUCUCUCUGAGAUCAGAGCCAGCGACCCGUCGGAAUCUUCACGCUCGGAAUGCCACCGAGUCAAGCACCAAUCAGAGACUUAGAAACUCAUUAAUAGCGAAGGGAGCAGUUCGCCGAUGAUUCCAGAGCGGCGCCUUCGAGCUUCCUCUAUAUUGGCACCGUUAAGCAGAGCCACAACUCCACGAGUAGCGACGCCAUGAGCAGAGCGAUGCCGGAAGUGAACCGGUCGCCAUACUAGAAACUCAAAUCGAUCAAGAGAUCGGAUUGGUAUAGGCCAAGUCCCGAGUUGCAACCAUUUCCGCCGAUCGCGAAACCGCCACCGCCUCAGACCCUCGAUUCGCCGUCGCCGAUGAC